CUGUUAUCACGGGUGACACACGGCGGGUGCUACCGUCCGUCGUGAAGAGGGAAGCACCCCAGACCGCCAGCUAAGGGCCCAAAGGCAUGGUUAAGUGGGAAACGAGGUGGGAAGGCCCAGACAGCCAGGAUGUUGGCUUAGAAGCAGCCAUCAUUUAAAGAAAGCGUAAUAGCUCACUGGUCGAGUCGGCCUGCGCGGAAGAUGUAGCGGGGCUAAACCAUGCACCGA
This 228-nucleotide ribosomal RNA is filed under the name Escherichia coli. RNAcentral's name for it is "partial 23S ribosomal RNA". It matches the Rfam family "Bacterial large subunit ribosomal RNA", at positions 969 to 1197 of the family's 2925-position model. Lineage: Bacteria; Pseudomonadati; Pseudomonadota; Gammaproteobacteria; Enterobacterales; Enterobacteriaceae. The record is from RNAcentral.